CGCGAUAUUAAAGUUACUAUAGGUUGUCCGAGCUAUAAACAUUUAAUAUAUAUUAUACAGUUGUCCUUGUCCUUGCACGAUGCUAACUAUAAUAAUAAUGCUUGCGAACAAAUAACAAUUGCUCAUUAUAUGGAUCGUUGGCCAGAUUUCAAUGUCGUACUGUGUCAGUUUAUCUGCACGUAUAAAACCGAGUAACCGACCCGUGGCCGUGCAGCAUCAUUAUGUGGCCAUGUCCUCAUGUUCACUCGGACAUCACAAACCCGAACGAUACUAAUUUUUGGACCAGGAACUGGUCCCCAAUCGCUGCUAAUCUUCUUCUUCUUGUUAGGGGGCGACCAUUAUUAUUCUAAGCAAUAUUCCGCAUCGGUUGACGGUGUUCGAUUUUUCAUUUUUGACUUUAGAAGCAAGAUACAAGCAAUUUUUGACUGUAUUCGUAGCAAAUAACACAGCAAAUAUAUCAGCAAACGCAAACGAUAAGAAAGGCAUUGUCUUGACUCUUGUCUAUUGUUGUGAAUACAAUCACAAUAGUCUAAAGCUUCUCAAGAAAGAUAGUCUAUAUGGCGCGGGUCGCGAGGUCGCGAGUCAAUACAAAACGCUACAAAUGGCGCGGGUCCAGCGAAAAUGGCGCGGGUAACAAGUUCCGAGGCGCGAGUACAAAGUUCCGAGGCGAGGGUAACAAGUUCCGAGAUCAAUUGCCCGGCACUUAUAUUAAAGAUGGCGGCUAUUUUGACUAAAAAUUCUGCAACUAUU
This is a non-coding RNA of Paramuricea clavata, 750 nucleotides long. The record is from the annotation of a GenBank genome assembly. Lineage: Eukaryota; Metazoa; Cnidaria; Anthozoa; Malacalcyonacea; Plexauridae.